RNAcentral lists this long non-coding RNA (702 nucleotides) under Gallus gallus (chicken). RNAcentral's name for it is "lncRNA (ENSGALG00010022995.1)". Lineage: Eukaryota; Metazoa; Chordata; Aves; Galliformes; Phasianidae. The record is from RNAcentral.
AGAGAACCAGGGCUGCUAUUCCCACAUCGUUACAUUACAGACACAGAUGACAUGAGAACACUGAAUAGCAAUCUUACAGUCACAGCAUGGCUGAGAACACAAGAAUCGGCAUUGAUGAUACCAAGAGCACAAAGAAGUGGAAGUUAAAAAACAGAGAAAGAAGAGAGAACCGCCAAGCUGAAGCAAUGUUAUCAGCAGAGGUCGGUGCAAACACAGCCUCCACAACUCAGCAAGAUGCACCUCCGAGUGCUCCUGGAAGGAUCCUGUGUCAGGAUCGAUAUCUAUAAACAACCUCUAUGAAGCCAAAAAGGAAGCAUUUCUGUGUAUCAAUACACAAUGCCUUACGAGGAAGAAAAAAGAACGUCUUCUUUUUAACUGCCACUCAGUGCUUUUGCUUUUUAAACUGUCUGAUGGCCAAGUUCAAAAGCAAUUUGUCCUGCACAGUCAUUGCCCAAAGUGGACAACAUAAUUAAUCAUCUAUCCUUAUGCACUUGUGACUUAAAAUGACUUUUAGCUAAAUACUCUUACCCUAGCUCUCCCCUUGAUUAAUCCUGAACCAUGUAAGCAUGAAUUUUAUUACUGGCUCUCUCCUUCUGUCAGCUGGAAUGUCACGCUGGAAUAUAAUGAAAAUAAAAUCAUAGUAUGUUCAUUUCCCCACUGCUCUAAAAAUGCCAUUUAUUUCCUUUUUGAAAUACUUUUUAG